This 207-nucleotide ribosomal RNA is filed under the name uncultured bacterium. RNAcentral's name for it is "partial 16S ribosomal RNA". It matches the Rfam family "Bacterial small subunit ribosomal RNA", at positions 568 to 774 of the family's 1533-position model. The record is from RNAcentral.
CGCGUAGGCGGUUUGCUAAGUCAGAUGUGAAAGUCCACGGCUCAACUGUGGAAGUGCAUUUGAAACUGUCAGACUUGAGUAUCGGAGGGGAGUGUGGAAUUCCCGGUGUAGAGGUGAAAUUCGUAGAGAUCGGGAGGAACACCGGUGGCGAAGGCGACACUCUGGACGAAUACUGACGCUGGGGCGCGAAAGCGUGGGGAGCAAACA